RNAcentral lists this ribosomal RNA (657 nucleotides) under uncultured Acidobacteriota bacterium. RNAcentral's name for it is "bacterial SSU rRNA". It matches the Rfam family "Bacterial small subunit ribosomal RNA", at positions 60 to 749 of the family's 1533-position model. The record is from RNAcentral. Lineage: Bacteria; Pseudomonadati; Acidobacteriota.
AGUCGCACGAGAAAGGGGCUUCGGCUCUGAGUAAAGUGGCGCACGGGUGAGUAACACGUGAAUUAUCUACCUCCGAGUGGGGAAUAACUGAGAGAAAUCUUAGCUAAUACCGCAUAACACCUACGAGUCAAAGCAGCAAUGCGCUUGGAGAGGAGUUCGCGGCCGAUUAGUUAGUUGGCGGGGUAAUGGCCCACCAAGACGAUGAUCGGUAUCCGGCCUGAGAGGGCGCACGGACACACUGGAACUGAAACACGGUCCAGACUCCUACGGGAGGCAGCAGUGGGGAAUUUUGCGCAAUGGGGGAAACCCUGACGCAGCAACGCCGCGUGGAGGACGAAAUCCCUUGGGAUGUAAACUCCUUUCGAUAGGGAAGAUAAUGACGGUACCUAUAGAAGAAGCCCCGGCUAACUUCGUGCCAGCAGCCGCGGUAAUACGAGGGGGGCAAGCGUUGUUCGGAAUUAUUGGGCGUAAAGGGCGCGUAGGCGGUUUGGCAAGUCUUAUGUGAAAUCUUCGGGCUCAACCCGAAGCCUGCAUGAGAAACUGCCGGGCUUGAGUAUGGGAGAGGUGAGUGGAAUUUCCGGUGUAGCGGUGAAAUGCGUAGAUAUCGGAAGGAACACCUGUGGCGAAAGCGGCUCACUGGACCAUAACUGACGCUGA